Molecule: long non-coding RNA, 506 nt
Organism: Haplochromis burtoni (Burton's mouthbrooder)
Lineage: Eukaryota; Metazoa; Chordata; Actinopteri; Cichliformes; Cichlidae
Exons: 4
Source: RefSeq, a predicted model, not a curated record
CGAUGAUUUGAUCUUGGAUGUAGUAAGCGAGCAAUCUGACAGCUGUGGAAGAAAAGGAUAAACGGCUCCACCGACAGACCUGAAGAACAGGUGUAGCCACGAGGUAACGGCAAGAUAUGGGCGAAUGGAUGGAACUGCUACUUUCGUUUGUGUUUUUAUGGCCAACUGCCGCGAUAAGUCAUGCCACGCUAUUUUUCCGCGAUAACCGGGUGUUUUUGCUAAUAUCUGCGCUCCUGCUGACCAGAGAAGCUGACGCUCUCCGGAUGAUCAGUGCAAGUGUGACGGUGGUUCAAGGAGGUACCGCUAUUUUACCGUGCCAUGUCACUGGUACCAAUGAUGACCUGACACAGAUUACCUGGCAGAGGAGGACGAGAGAAAAACCUCACAAUGACAAUUUCCUCACUAUCCUACCCCGAGAGGGAGUGCAGUUUGUCAAUGGAGGUGAUGAUCGAUUUAAAUAUAUCGGGAAUUUUAACAACAAAAAUGGAACUCUCCAGUUAUCCAAU